GAUGAAGAACGUAGCGAAAUGCGAUAAGUAAUGUGAAUUGCAGAAUUCAGUGAAUCAUCGAAUCUUUGAACGCACAUUGCGCCCAUUAGCAUUCUAGUGGGCAUGCCUGUUCGAGCGUCAUUUCAACCCUUAAGCCCUGUUGCUUAGCGUUGGGAGCCUACAGUACUGUAGCUCCCCAAAGUUAGUGGCGGAGUCGGUUUCACACUCUAGACGUAGUAAAUUUUUCUCGUCUGUAGUUGAGCCGGUCCCCUGCCGUAAAACGUCCAAUUUAUCAAGGUUGACCUCGGAUCAGGUAGGAAUACCCGCUGAACUUAAGCAUAUCAAUAAGCGGAGGA
Molecule: unclassified non-coding RNA, 335 nt
Filed under: soil metagenome
Description: partial contains 5.8S ribosomal RNA, internal transcribed spacer 2, and large subunit ribosomal RNA
Rfam family: 5.8S ribosomal RNA (bases 1-120)
Source: RNAcentral